AAUACAAAAACUGUUCAUAGAUAAUUUUGAAUUUUAUUGAAAGGAAUGACAUUAAAGAUAAGAUUGAAUUUUAAAUUUUGAGUUUUAAAAUUAAAGUAUGUGCAUUAGUAAAUUUUACAAGUGUCCCUAAAUCCGCUUACCAUUUAUUCAGGGAUCAUACUUUAGUAAUAAUGAGAUUUAUGUGAAGGGAGAAUAAAAAGAUAAAAAUGAGCAUGAAAGUUUUAAGGAAAUUUCGACAAGGAAUGAGAAGUACAUGUAUUAAAGGGCACUUUGAAAAAUAAGAACACGACAUGUAUACAAAUCUCAAAUGGGCAACUUGGUUUCUCAAUGUUAAAAAUUUACCGCUACCUGGACAAUACAACAUGCAUGCUGUGUUCCAAAAUUACUUUAAUUUCUCUGAAUCACCUUACUGAAAUAAACUUCUAAAAAAAGUUUUGAAAUCUCAUUUUGUUCAACUAUAUUGAUCUGGCUCUAAAGGCCUGAUCACAAGUCAAAAGCUGAAAAACCUGCAAUAUGUCUGAAGUUUCAUAAAUCAUCUACGGUUUGGAAAUCCGAGUUUGAUUA
Long non-coding RNA from Lytechinus variegatus (green sea urchin), 564 nucleotides. RefSeq lists it as uncharacterized. The transcript is spliced from 2 exons. The record is from RefSeq and is a predicted model, not a curated record. NCBI's taxonomy places the organism in Eukaryota, Metazoa, Echinodermata, Echinoidea, Temnopleuroida, Toxopneustidae.